This 441-nucleotide unclassified non-coding RNA is filed under the name uncultured Nostocaceae cyanobacterium. Its description in RNAcentral is "partial contains 16S ribosomal RNA, 16S-23S ribosomal RNA intergenic spacer, and 23S ribosomal RNA". The stretch from base 1 to 120 matches the Rfam family "Bacterial small subunit ribosomal RNA", at positions 1414 to 1533 of the family's 1533-position model. The record is from RNAcentral. Lineage: Bacteria; Bacillati; Cyanobacteriota; Cyanophyceae; Nostocales; Nostocaceae.
GCCACGCCCGAAGUCAUUACCCUAACCGCAAGGAGGGGGAUGCCAAAGGCAGGGCUAGUGACUGGGGUGAAGUCGUAACAAGGUAGCCGUACCGGAAGGUGUGGCUGGAUCACCUCCUUUUAGGGAGACCUAAUCCAUUUAGAAAUCGAAAACAAUGAAAAUUGUCAAUAGAAACUAAAGUGGUCUAACCUAGGUCGUUCGAGAUUGGUAGAUAUCUUUCAAAGUAUUAUUCGGCUUCGUUCAAAACCAUAUAUAAAUGGAAAAAGACAGCACCUAAUUGUCAAAGUUAGACUGCUGGAUGAAAUUCCAGCCAGAAUCUUGAAAACUGCAUAAGAGAACGAGAAAAAGCAGGCAGACACAGACAUUUAGAUGGAUGUGAAAGCAAAAGAAAUUGUGGUCAAGCUAAUAAGGGCUAAUGGUGGAUACCUAGGCACACAGAGG